AGGAAACGGCACACUUGUGCCACAUAUGAGAGCCCCAGACACACAUGAACUCAGAGACCGUGGCAGCAUGCACAAGGCCUGCACAGGUCUCAGCACUAAGAAGGAGAAGUGCACACAGUGCCCACCCUUACUUUUUAUUGUUUUAUUUUGUUCAUUGAGAUUUUGGAGUAGGGUCUUUCUACAUAGACCUGUCCUGAAAUUCACUAUGUAGGCUGGCCUCGAACUCACAGAAAUGCACCUGCCUCUGUUUUAUAAAUGCCGGUGUUAAAGGUGUGUGUGAACACGCACAGCCCAAGAAGCUAUUUGCAAUUGCAGUAGAUUCAUGCUGAGAAAGUUUGUUCCAGUGGACUGUGACUAGGUACAUCAACCACACCCCAGGGCAGGUCCUGUGUCCAAGGUAUUGGUCAGAACAAAAUGAAUUCUCGGCUGGUAUGUGUGAGUUCAUGUGCUUUUUGUUUUGUCUUUUAUUUGUAUUAUUUUCUGUUUGAUUUUUUUCUUUUUUUGAGAGAGAGAGAAAGACCAUGGUAUGGGUAAGGAUGUGUGAGAGGAGUGGGAGAGAAAAAACAAAUUGUAUGAAAAUAAUUAGGAAUAAAAUUAUCAUACAUUAUGACUUAUUUGUGAAUAACUAGAGUGUUAUUCAAAUUUAGCUCUAAAAUCUUGCUGCUCAGGGGCUAGAAAGUUUGGAGAACGUGAUGAGCUCUGAGCAGCCCCACAUGCUGCUACUGCACUAACCUUCUGUGCUGACUGACUUUAAAGUCCUUGGUUAUACCCAGCCCAGCAGCUUCACUUCCCUUUAGUAGCUUGUUCUACAUUUAACUCAUAUUGAGUAUUUCUAUCAUGAAAUUCUUCAUUAAGGAAAAACUGCUAACGGCUUGACUGUUUUGAAGACCUUUCUAAAGAGUAGGACUUAGAAGCUCCACCUGAAGGAGCAGGAAGUCACUGUAGGAAGUGCUGUGAGUUGGGGCUCAAUCUUGCUCACCGUGAGGUCCUGUCUCUAAAUGAAGAGAGUACGUGUUCUAGAAGUACAAGGAUAGAAUACACAGACAUUGCCUAACUUGGAAACUCUAGCGGUUUCCAUUUUGUUUGGCUUUUGGAGGCUGUGAUAUUUUUGAGGAAAAAGUGACACACAUUGCUUUCCUGUUUCCCAGCCAUUGACCUGAAGAACGGCUCUGGAGAGGUUUACCAAGGCCCUGCCAAAGGCUCUGCUGACACGACCAUCACAAUUUCUGAUGAGGAUUUCAUGGAAGUGGUCCUGGGCAAGCUUAACCCACAGAAUGCCUUCUUCAGUGGCAGACUGAAGGCCCGAGGAAACAUCAUGCUGAGCCAGAAGCUACAGAUGAUUCUGAAAGACUAUGCCAAGCUCUGAAGGACCCACUGCGUGCUUUAAUAAAACCAGAAUCAUUACGUUCUGUCUACGCAGUCAUGCUCCAGCCUUCUUUGAAACGAUCCACGGUAAUGUGCAGCAGAAAUUGCUUAACAUUUUCAGAUUCAGAUAACUUUCAGAUUUUCAUUUUCUACUAAUUUUUCACAUAUUAUUUUUACAAGGAACUGUAAUCUAGCUAGCAAAUAAUUGUUCUGUUCAUAGAUCUGUAUCUUAAUAAAAAAAAAAUCAACC
This 1615-nucleotide long non-coding RNA is filed under the name Rattus norvegicus (Norway rat). RNAcentral's name for it is "long non-coding RNA NONRATT013425". The record is from RNAcentral. Lineage: Eukaryota; Metazoa; Chordata; Mammalia; Rodentia; Muridae.